RNAcentral lists this ribosomal RNA (279 nucleotides) under uncultured bacterium. RNAcentral's name for it is "partial 16S ribosomal RNA". It matches the Rfam family "Bacterial small subunit ribosomal RNA", at positions 506 to 784 of the family's 1533-position model. The record is from RNAcentral.
UGCCAGCAGCCGCGGUAACACGGAGGCCCCAAGCGUUGUUCGGAUUUACUGGGCGUAAAGAGUACGUAGGCGGCGAGGUAAGUCAGAUGUGAAAGCCCGGGGCUCAACCUCGGAACUGCAUCCGAUACUGCCUUGCUAGAGGGUUGGAGAGGAGACUGGAAUUCAUGGUGUAGCAGUGAAAUGCGUGGAUAUCAUGAGGAAGACCAACGGCGAAGGCAGGUCUCUGGACAACUCCUGACGCUGAGGUACGAAGGCUGGGGGAGCGAAAAGGAUUAGAUA